GGAUUGUAAACCUCUGUCUUCAGGGACGAAAAAGAUGACGGUACCUGAAGAGGAAGCCACGGCUAACUACGUGCCAGCAGCCGCGGUAAUACGUAGGUGGCGAGCGUUGUCCGGAAUUACUGGGUGUAAAGGGAGCGUAGGCGGGUACGCAAGUUGAAUGUGAAAACUAACGGCUCAACCGAUAGUUGCGUUCAAAACUGCGGAUCUUGAGUGAAGUAGAGGCAGGCGGAAUUCCUAGUGUAGCGGUAAAAUGCGUAGAUAUUAGGAGGAACACCAGUGGCGAAGGCGGCCUGCUGGGCUUUAACUGACGCUGAGGCUCGAAAGUGUGGGGAGCAAACAGGAUUAGAUACCCUGGUAGUCCACACCGUAAACGAUGAUUACUAGGCGUGGGGGGACUGACCCCCUCCGUGCCGGAGUUAACACAAUAAGUAAUCCACCUGGGGAGUA
RNAcentral lists this ribosomal RNA (447 nucleotides) under uncultured bacterium. Its description in RNAcentral is "bacterial SSU rRNA". It matches the Rfam family "Bacterial small subunit ribosomal RNA", at positions 420 to 882 of the family's 1533-position model. The record is from RNAcentral.